GACGAACGCUGGCGGCGUGCUUAACACAUGCAAGUCGAACGGAAAGGCCCUGCUUUUGUUGGGUGCUCGAUUGGCGAACGGGUGAGUAACACGUGAGUAACCUGCCCUUGACUUUGGGAUAACUUCAGGAAACUGGGGCUAAUACCGGAUAGGAUCUCCUGCUGCAUGUUGUGGGUUGGAAAGUUUCGGCUUUUGUGUAUGUACUCGCUGCUUAUCAGCUUGUUGGUGGGGUAGUGGCUUACAAAGGCUUUGACGGGUAGCCGGCAUGAGAGGGUUACCGGGCACCAUGGGACUGAGAUACGGCCCAGACUCCUACGGGAGGCAGCAGUGGGGAAUAUUGCACAAUGGGCGGAAGCCUGAUGCAGCAACGCCGCGUGCGGGAUGACGGCCUUCGGGUUGUAAACCGAUUUCGAAUGUGACGAAGAGUGAGUGACGGUAAUGGGUAAAGAAGCAACGGCUAACUACGUG
RNAcentral lists this ribosomal RNA (468 nucleotides) under uncultured bacterium. Its description in RNAcentral is "partial 16S ribosomal RNA". It matches the Rfam family "Bacterial small subunit ribosomal RNA", at positions 28 to 507 of the family's 1533-position model. The record is from RNAcentral.